CGCGUAGGUGGCUUCGUAAGUCCGUUGUGAAAGUCAAAGGCUCAACCUUUGAAAGCCGAUGGAUACUGCGGAGCUAGAGUACGGAAGAGGCGAGUGGAAUUCCUGGUGUAGCGGUGGAAUGCGCAGAUAUCAGGAGGAACACCAAUAGCGAAGGCAGCUCGCUGGGACGUUACUGACACUGAGGCGCGAAAGCGUGGGGAGCGAACA
Molecule: ribosomal RNA, 207 nt
Filed under: uncultured bacterium
Lineage: Bacteria
Description: partial 16S ribosomal RNA
Rfam family: Bacterial small subunit ribosomal RNA
Source: RNAcentral